This 3112-nucleotide unclassified non-coding RNA is filed under the name Stegodyphus dumicola. RNAcentral's name for it is "glycogen-binding subunit 76A-like, transcript variant X4". Lineage: Eukaryota; Metazoa; Arthropoda; Arachnida; Araneae; Eresidae. The record is from RNAcentral.
UUUUUUUUAAAACGAAUUCUUAGAACUAAUAUUUUUUAAAAAUUUUUUAUGUGUAUACUGUAUGUUGUCGCAAUAAAGUCUGCUUGGCGAGAUUUGCGCCGGCGAAAUGGAAAAGUACCGAAGUUAUGUUAAAUUCAUUAAACUAUUCAAGCGUAUUUUCGAGUUAUGCACAGGUUAAAUAAUGUCAUUUAUUUCAGCUUCAUUCUUUGGAAAUAUUCUGAGAGCAAGUAGUCAGUGUAUCUUUUCAAUUACAUGCUUUAAUAUUUUAGCUAAAAUGGCAAAAUUGUUUAAAAGAAACAAAUAUUUUUAUUUCAUUCCUAUUAUUGUUUUCAGUCAAAGACAUGAUUCACCCAUUAAGUGUUCAUAACUUAUUGGGAAUGUAUGUGUAAUUAUGCGAUUAAACUACAGUUUUUUGGUAUUUUUUGUUGAUUAUUCUUAUAAUUUUUUAAAAUUGCUUGCAUUAGAGAAAAUUUAAAAAAUAAAUAAAUAUUAUAUUACAUUUUUAUAUCAUAGAUACAGUUGUUUGUAAAUGCAUUGAAAUUGUUAUAAAUAAUAAUAAUAAUUAGUAAAGUAAACGAAUUUCUUAAACGACUCAAAAAAGUGUAAAAUUUACGUUGAUACCUUGAAAUUCAAACUAACACCUCAAAGGCAUCACGAAUUCAAUUCCUUAAAAUGUGAAACAUGCGAUUUCAUAAAAAGUAUAAGUAAUGGUCUUAUAGUAAGAAAUAAUAUUUAUUCUUACAUUCGUAUGCCAUGAUUUUUGAUGGUAGGAUAACUAUAUUAAUCAGAUUCUGGUGUUUAUAUGCUAUGUACUCUAUCCAGUGAUUUCGCUGUCAUUUUCUAAUAAAAUGAAGUUUGUAAAGAUAAGUUAUUUCAUGAACUUGAGUUGAGUACGAAGUGAAAGUAUGAAACAGUAUGAACCAAAGUUUGCUGAAAUACAUUGCAUAUGUUGGUUCUUAGCUGAGAUAAUGUAAUGAAAGGCAGAUAAAGACUCACUGCCUCGAUGAUAUUAUGAGAUCGGUACUUCCUAGCUAGGGUCAUGAUGUCUGUGAAUUUACUUCAGAGAUGUCUGUGCAGGGACUUCCAAUAACUAGUCCGAUUUAUAAAUAACUUAAAUAUUUAAUGAAAACUUAAAUAUUUAACUUAAAUAUUUAAUGAAAUAAAAUGAAUAAUUAAUAGUUAUUACAAACUACGAAAUGAUUACAUUCGUAGACGGAAAUAGAUGAGAUUAUUUACAGAUUUAAAAGCUAACAUCUUAUGUACAGAACAUCGCCUUCCAUCCAUCUUAAUGGCGAAAUCGUCUGUCUCCUCCUAUCACAAACCCCCCCCCAAAAAAAGAGUUCUUUUACGCAGCUUGCCAUGCCAUCUCAUUGUUGUGGACAAUGCCAUCCUACAGUAAUUUGCUGAAAUAGAUUUAAUGAAAUGCCAUUUUAAUAUCAAAUCCUUAUAUUUCAAUUCUAGUAGCAAAACUAAAUCUUCUGUGUAAAAAAAAACAUUUAAUUCUAAAACGAAAUCCAUUAUAUAAACUGUUGUCACAAAACGAUAAUACAAUAAUAUGCAAAGUUAACAUUUAUAAUUAUUAAAAUAGAGUUACUUUUAAAUUAAGUAUUUACAUUUUAUGCUGUUACAUUUACACAUUUUAUACCGUUACACAUAAUAUAAAUAUUUCACCUUUCGUUUAAAAUGAAAAUAGUAUGCUUACGGUUGCCAUCUAUAAAACUGGAAUUCGCGGUUUAAAUAAAUUUACAUUGAAGUACCUAGAAUGUUACAUAUCCUAUAUUGUUACAAUACUGUACUGCUGUCUUAAGGUUUGUCUGAAAGAAAUUCUGUACCAAGACUCAUAUAAUAUGGAGUUGGACUUUAUUAUUAAAUAUAUUACUAUUAUUCUAAUAAUAUACAUUUAUAUAUAAUAACUAUUCGAGUGAUAUUAACUAUUUGAGUUAACUAUUUGAGUGAUAUUCAAGUUAAUGAAAUAACUAAUCUUUGCAGUUUGCAUUUUAUUUUCAAAUGUCUGUGAAAUCAUUGCAUAGAGCCCAUUAUACAUGAACACCAAAAUAUUAUUAAUAACGUUUUUCUGCCAGCAAAAAUGUCAAACUAAUAUUAAGGUGCAUAUAUUUUAAACGGCUUUUGUUGAACCGAUAAGCAACGUAAUGCAAUAAUUUGAAAAGGAAACAAAAGAUCCAAUGCCACGUGGAUUGGCAAGUUUCCCAUUUUGCGAAGACAAUGUUUUCUUUGCAAAGUGAAAACAAAAGCGUCUUUUUCCACAUGCAAAUAGGAAAAAUGUUUAAGAGCGUUUGAAAAAUUAGAUGAAAAGUAAACUCGGAUAUAAAAGCAUCUAAAUUUUUAAGUUAUUCCUGUCAAACUAAUUUUGAUGUUUUCAAAUAAAUAUUAUAUUCCUAUGAUGAUUGAUUCAUUUCUUAAAAAUUGAAUAUUGCUGAUAAUAGAAGCAAAAAACUCCGAUUCUAAGAAAAUCAAUCUUUUUGUUUUACCUAGUUCCAAAAUAUUAAUCUACUUAGUAUCAUAAUUUUAGCAACAUUUUAUGAUUUGCUUUAUUAGUGUUAUAAUAUUGAACCCAAUGAAAACUGUGAUGUGUGUCUAAACUUAUGACAAAAUUUAUGAUAAUUAUAUUUUACCAUAAAUAUAUGAUAAUUAUUAAUCUUAAGCAGAUUUAUGUAUGUCUUUUAAUUUUACGUUGAUAUUUUAAUAACAUUUAACAUAUAUGUACUAAAAUUUAUAACACUUUUGUGACUGGUUCGUUAUUAUUUUCAGUCUUAAUAAGCUUGGCGUAUCAUGAUUUAGUUAGUAAUUUUUUACUUUAUAAUAUUAGAAAUUUUCUAAUAUUGAAAAAUUUUGAUAUAUUAUUAUGAAAUUAUUAUACAACAAAUUAUGAAUUUAUUAUAAAACAAAGAAGAAACCACGGAAAGUAAUAUUUAUUGCUAAUAUAUAUGAUCUCUAAAUCGAAAGAUAUAGUUAUCCAAAAUGCAUAAUAUAUUGCGGCCAAUAUAUUUUUAAUUAAUUUUUAAGAUGUCUGAAAAAGUAUUCUUACUUUUAACAUGCCUUAGAAAUAAACAAAAAAGAAUUCAUGUUUGAAAAAAAAAAAAAAAAAAAAAAA